GAUGAACGCUGGCGGCGUGCUUAACACAUGCCAGUCGAACGGAAAGGCUCCUGCUUGCAGGGGUACUCGAGUGGCGAACGGGUGAGUAACACGUGGGUGAUCUGCCCUGCACUUCGGGAUAAGCCUGGGAAACUGGGUCUAAUACCGGAUAGGAAGAUGGUUUGGAUGCCAUUGUGGAAAGUUUUUCGGUGUGGUAUGAGCUCGCGGCCUAUCAGCUUGUUGGUGGGGUAAUGGAGUACCAAGGCGUCGACGGGUAGCCGGCCGAGAGGGUGUCCGGCCACAUUGGGACUGAGAUACGGCCCAGACUCCUACGGGAGGCAGCAGUGGGGAAUAUUGCACAAUGGGCGGAAGCCUGAUGCAGCGACGCCGCGUGGGGGAUGACGGCCUUCGGGUUGUAAACUCCUUUCGCUAGGGACGAAGCGCAAGUGACGGUACCUGGAGAAGAAGCACCGGCUAACUACGUG
This 464-nucleotide ribosomal RNA is filed under the name uncultured bacterium. RNAcentral describes it as "partial 16S ribosomal RNA". It matches the Rfam family "Bacterial small subunit ribosomal RNA", at positions 28 to 507 of the family's 1533-position model. The record is from RNAcentral.